Molecule: long non-coding RNA, 818 nt
Organism: Triticum urartu
Lineage: Eukaryota; Viridiplantae; Streptophyta; Magnoliopsida; Poales; Poaceae
Source: RefSeq, a predicted model, not a curated record
CUGGGCCGUUGGGAAUGCACGUGCGCACACAUGAGCAGGGUCCAUCCCUAUCCCCCACCGGAUCCAGUCGCACCCCCACUCAGCCGUCUUUUGCCCGAAUCCGAGUACUCUUUGGACCUGCGGCGGCUGCUUGAAUCCCUGGCGUAGCAGUGAUGGAAGAUGCCGGCCUUGAAUUCUUGCAGGAUACGGUCGACCGAUUUCUCGUCCAGGAGGAGUUUGUCGACAGCCUUGAACACCCAGAUCCAGUACCUCUUGCAUUGUUAACGCCUGACGAAGUGAAUCCAGCCGGCCAGGAAGCCCGGAAUGUUGCAUCUGGAUGCGGCAGCAAGUUGACGGUGGUGGCGCUGGUAGGCCGAUGCUGCGGCGACCGACGGUAGCGGGAGAUAUCACCCACUGCGUCCGUCCGCGCAAUCUAUUGACAAGGUAACCCAGAAACAUCUGGAUGGACGAAGAGGAUAAUUGUUUUGUGUUGUUUACCGCUGCCCAAAAGGUACUACUUGGUAAGCUCAGAAAUCACAAGUCUCCAGGAGAAGCGCUCGGAUUUAGGUGUUAAGCCAAAGAACCACAAGGUCAGGCCAGGUUGACCGAGUUAGGUUGAAUAUUCAGUAUGUGCACACCUCUGCAUAUCAUAUUAGGUUGAAUAUUCACCACAUCACUAUCAUGUUCUGGUUUGUACUUUCCGGCUACCAUACCUGUGCAUAUCAUUGCUUUUUUCAUAUUGCUACUUGGUGAUGCUCAAAUUUAUUAUAUGUGCAAUUUUCAGAUCUAAAUUGCUCUUAAGUAAGCCAGUUUCCAAUAAAAUGAUUUAUGAGAAAGAU